CACACACAUGUCAACUACAGCUUUGGACGCCCCCGGAAAAUAAAAUUGGGCCUUUUGGUCUUAGCCCAUUUAGGUUUUGAUUGUGGAUUAGGACCGAUUGGAAAAAAAAAACUCGAAAUUUAUAUUUCAAUUUUUUUAAAAAAAAUUUUAAAAAUAUAUCUCUGCCCAUUUAGGUUUAAAAAAAAAUAUUUAUCAAUUUUAAUCUUGUCUUUGAAAAUAUAUAUAACUAGUGGUUGUCUGGAAAAUUAUAAUGAAAAUUAUUUUAUAUAAAUAUAUAUAAUAAAUAUAUAUAUUAAUAUAUGAAACAAUUUAAAAAAAGUAUGUGUCAAUAGAAAAAUGAUAUUACAAACAUAUGUAUGAUUAAUUAGUUUAUAUAUAAAUGGUGCAGAGGAGACGUAUCAAGCAAAAAGAAAAGGUGGAGCGAGAAGAAUGAUGAUAUACAUGCCACCUAGCUUUUCUGGCCGUGCUUCCGGUCGCGGUCGUGGUUGGACCAUGUCGACCAAACCAUGAACUACCGAUUACUUCAUUUUAAUUACAGCUACAUAUGUUGAAUGUUUUAUCUCUAGCAAUUUGUAUAUUCUCCAUUUAUUCUUAACCGUGUUUUGUCCGAUUAGUAACUUAAGCAAUAAAAUUGCUCUUAGUGAAUUUAUUUUAUAUAGAAAGUUAAAAUCACUAAGACUUGAUGUUCAAUAGUAACCAACAAAAUACAGAACUUGUUCCUUUCUCCUCUCUCUGGUUGUCUUCUUGUCCGAGAUUUUACUUAAAUGUGCCAUAAGAUGCAUGAACGACAAAGCCGAAGAUGGCUGCUUCCCCUGGAUGCUGAAUAGAAUUGUCUCAUAGCCGAAGAGCUAUCUCCUCACAGGUGGCGCGCCUCCCCUUCCUCCUGUUCCAUGCCCAAGUACCCUGAGCACUGAUGACAUGACCAAUAUUGAAUUAGUUGCUUUAAAUUUCCAAAACAUUUGUUUAUUGACAAGAGAUAUAAAGAAUAUUCUGAUAUAGCUGUUGGAGAAGAAUUAAAUAGAUGCUCCGGGAAUCGAAGACCUCUGCAUGUUCAGUAUUAGAGGCUCCUCCUCUGCAUGUUUAGUAUUUCAAAUUAGAGGUUCCACUUUCUGUAGUAUAAAUAUAUGUAACCCUGUUAUGAAUAAUUAUAAUCUAAGGGAAUUCAUUUUCUUCCAAGUUACUUUCUCUCUUAGUCUCAACUCUCUUUCUCUGUUUCUUGUUAAGGAAUUAUAACUUUCAUUGCACCCAUAGUUGUUAGUGAUCAUGGUAUCCAAGUACGAAGAAAUCUCAGUUCCUGCUGUUAAUGAUCUCAUCUUGGUCUCAGACAAGGUUUACACUGUGAGAGAAGUUCUUGACAUGGAGAAGUUAAUGGCGAAUUACUUUGCGAUUCAAUUUCUGUUUGCCAACUCCAUACGUGUUCAUGAGGAGGUUUCUCAAAGCUGCACAAUCUGACCAAGAGAUUUUAUUGAGCUUCUAUCAUUCUUCAUCAUCAAGCUCAGCUUAGUAGAGUACGAGAUAUGAUGCUUCAUUACGCUCCGUCUCAAAUCGACAAGAGAUCAAUGGUGAUUCAAGAAACGACUCAGAGAGAGAGAGAGAGAGAGAGAGAGCUUUGGCUGAAGCGGAAUCUCUGGUUGAGAAAGAACUAGAAGGAGCCAUCAGAGAGAUUGUAGAAGUAGAGUAUGAGUGACCGAGUAACCUAUCGUGAUAUGGGGAUCAUGGAAGAGGUUCUCAAUCAACGCCAAAAACAGGUGUGCUGGGCCAUCAGCCUAACAAGACAGCUAGCAGCACUGCUCAAACUUCGUGGACAACUAAAUAUCAAUGCAAGCCUGUCGAUUCAGUAUUUGAUUAACAAAGUAGGGAGUUCACUUUUUGGAGCACAAAUGCUGAGGCCAUGGAAUGGGUCCGUGAGGUCGUUGCAAACAGCUAUCCCAUUCCUGGUCAAUGGGACAGUAUUGGAGAAUCUUGUUCCUCUGCGACAAUUCGACCUACAGAGUUCAACUCCAGAAAAUCAUGUUCUUGGAGAGCGACGUUACAGAGCUGUAUGUAUUGUUGUACACCACAUCGACGAAUAUCGAGGUAUUGUUUAUUCUUGGCCCAGUUAAACCCAACGAGUUUUUUUAAAGACACAUUAAUAUCAGCUUUUUUUUUUUUUGAAAUGAAAAUAUAAACAUUAAAGGUAGACGAAAGCAACAAAUUAACAAAAUAGAGAUUUAAGCUUUAUACAAGAACUAUAAAGCUAGAGAGAGAGACUAAAGCAUGAACUUAGAUAAAAGACAAAAACCGACCUUAAGAAUAGAGUUUAACCUUCAAACCUGCAACAACAAACACGAAGCUUUUAAUUAAAGGGAGUA
Brassica napus (rape) is the source of this 2351-nucleotide long non-coding RNA. RefSeq lists it as uncharacterized. NCBI's taxonomy places the organism in Eukaryota, Viridiplantae, Streptophyta, Magnoliopsida, Brassicales, Brassicaceae. The transcript is spliced from 5 exons. The record is from RefSeq and is a predicted model, not a curated record.